GUCUAUUUAGUUUAUAAAGAAUGUUAUUUUGAAAAGAUAAAGGGGGUUUAGGCA
Molecule: transfer RNA, 54 nt
Filed under: Physaloptera rara
Lineage: Eukaryota; Metazoa; Nematoda; Chromadorea; Rhabditida; Physalopteridae
Description: tRNA-Phe
Source: RNAcentral